UGCUGGGCUUGGUAAUAGCCGCGGACUCAUAACCCGCUGGUUCCCGGUUCAAGUCCGGGAGGUCCCA
RNAcentral lists this transfer RNA (67 nucleotides) under Fibrobacter sp. Its description in RNAcentral is "tRNA-Ile". It matches the Rfam family "tRNA", at positions 9 to 71 of the family's 71-position model. From Rfam's summary of the family: Transfer RNA (tRNA) molecules are approximately 80 nucleotides in length. Their secondary structure includes four short double-helical elements and three loops (D, anti-codon, and T loops). Further hydrogen bonds mediate the characteristic L-shaped molecular structure. tRNAs have two regions of fundamental functional importance: the anti-codon, which is responsible for specific mRNA codon recognition, and the 3' end, to which the tRNAs corresponding amino acid is attached (by aminoacyl-tRNA synthetases). tRNAs cope with the degeneracy of the genetic code in two manners: having more than one tRNA (with a specific anti-codon) for a particular amino acid; and 'wobble' base-pairing, i.e. permitting non-standard base-pairing at the 3rd anti-codon position. Lineage: Bacteria; Pseudomonadati; Fibrobacterota; Fibrobacteria; Fibrobacterales; Fibrobacteraceae. The record is from RNAcentral.